UACAGAGGCCCCGAGCAUUACCCGGAAUUACUGGGCGUAAAGGGUGCGUAGGUGGUCAUAUUAGUCGUCUGUUAAAAAUCAGGGCUCAACCCUGGGAGUGCGGGCGAAACGGUAUGACUCGAGAGCGUGAGAGGUACAGGGAACUCUAAGUGUAGGGGUGAAAUCCGUUGAUAUUUAGGGGAACACCGAAAGCGAAGGCACUGUACUGGCGCGUUUCUGACACUGAUAGCACGAAAGCGUGGGUAGCGAACGGG
RNAcentral lists this ribosomal RNA (254 nucleotides) under uncultured bacterium. RNAcentral's name for it is "partial 16S ribosomal RNA". It matches the Rfam family "Bacterial small subunit ribosomal RNA", at positions 524 to 776 of the family's 1533-position model. The record is from RNAcentral.